Molecule: ribosomal RNA, 900 nt
Filed under: Triticum aestivum (bread wheat)
Lineage: Eukaryota; Viridiplantae; Streptophyta; Magnoliopsida; Poales; Poaceae
Description: partial small subunit ribosomal RNA
Source: RNAcentral
AUGGGGAAAUAUUUCUAUAUCACCCGCAGCCCUUCAUCUUUAUAUUCAAACACAAGGGUUCAUGUGGAUGAGCUCAAGAAGUACAAGCCACCACAUCUCCUUGGGCUCCUCCGAUACUCUCAGCUUGGCAAUAUGACUAACAUAGAUCUUGUCAACAAUUGCACAUGCCAGUCAUCUAGUAGUGCCAUUGAGCUUGCGGAAAUCGGCAUCAAGUUGACUGCCAGCAGCAAAACAGGGUUGGCGGACAUGAGUGUCCAGAGAGGCUGCCUCUUUGGCCAGCUCUCGCUGACGGCAUUGUUCGUAAAUAACUUCACUGCUUGCUGGCUCGUCAACAUGGCAUCUUACGAGGCGUGUGUGUCCACCACAUAUCCUUCAGAUGGCUUCAUCAUCAGCUCAUACAUCUCUUUCCUGGCAAUGCUCAUGGACAAGGAAGAGGACAUGCACGAGCUGCGAGCCAAGCACAUCGUUCGCAGCUUCUUCAGCAACACAGGGCUGCUCGUUUUCUUCAAGGGCCUCGCCACCCACCUGCGCCUCAGGCGCCACUACUUUGUCAUCACGAGUAAGAUUAGCAAGUUCAAGCAUGAAAGGCCUGUGAGUAUCGCCGUGCAUAGGUUCGUAUACAAAAACUUCAAGACAAUUGUAACAGUGCUCUCUAUUGGUGGUGUGCUCUCUAUCUGCAUCGGCGAUAUCAUGGUUUGGCCAUGGUUCAGAUCAGAGACGGUGAUGAGUGUGCAGGAUCCAUCCCGGCGGCUCUCACGGUUUGGCGAGGUGGGGUGGGAGCCCUCCUCCCAGGCUCCAGUGGUGACGCAUUCAGGCAGUGGCUGGUGCGCCAGGGCUCCUACGGUGGCACUGCUGUUGUGGUUGGUCGCCGGAUCUAGGCGGCUAGAUCUGGGGCUUUGA